AAUAAUUACAAAACAUCUAUGUUCUCUGUCUAAACUGAAUACUUCCCAUUUUUCAGAUGUUCCACAUGAUAAGAGACCGAGUGUCGCUGAAUGCUGUCCCUUCUUUUUAUUUUAAGCUACAAUACAACAUUCAACACCUUCGCACUCGACUCAUCAUAAUAAAACCUCUAUGCUACUACUCUAAACUUGUAUAAAGAAUCUCAGGCAGCCGUACUUUAUCUUCCUGCAAAAGAUCAGUUUGAGUCGUCGAAUAAUUUAACUGAGCCCCUCUUAGAGAUUUACUAUGAAACCCGAGAACUCUCAUUUGCCCAUUAUCAUCAAGUUGAUAAAGUACGCCUGAUAAGCCGAUACCUGAGGAAUCUGUUUGCAAAUAAUAAGGUGAUGUAAGUCCCUAACACGCAAGCUACGUCAGUACAAUGAAGCAGAGGAAGAGAAUUUGAUUUAUUUAGAUACUAGUAUAUAGAAAUAUUUUAUUUUAUAUUUAAUUAACUCCAAAUCAAAUCAGUUCACAUUCCAGUUUUCUUACGGCAGCAAAAAUGUAGCCAAAGAGGCUACUUUAUGUAACAAACUAUUCAUAUAUUUAAUCCUGGUCAUUCCGGUGCCAAAAAUGUACCUUAACCCAAUAUUAGCUAAUCUACUUUAAUAAAACUCAUCCAGAAUUAAUUAUAAAUAAAUAAAAAUAAAUAAAUUUGGCCAUGUGAUCGUCUAGUGAAAUUAAUACGUUGUGAACCUUAGUACCCUUCGUCUUUUAUGUGCAGACUGAUUAGAUUUGGAUUUAAAAUACUACCCCUAAAAUACCCUAUGUAAUUGUAAAUAUUUCUACUGUAUUUCUAUAUUAUAACACUAUCAUAUGAAAAAAAUUAAAUAAUAAAUUAUAUUUUUUAGAAUUUAUCUUCUACCGAGCCCUACCGUGACCAGUUACCAUGAACAGUAGUGUAAGCCCUUGUUGUUUGUAAUUAUAUUUUCCUUUUAUAUCCAUUCGCUAAUCUAGCUAGCUAAAGGAAAAUAUAUAUAUGUAAAUGUUGCAAAAAUUAAUACGUACAAACAUACUUUAUCUACUGUCACGCCUCGGAUGAAGUCGGGUCUCUAAACUAAAUAAUACCUAUUUUAUUUUGUUUUGUUUUUAAUAGGUAUUCCUAAACACUAUGUAAUAUUUACUUUUAUCUGCGUUUCGGAACCUAUUUUCAGACAAGAAGAAACGCCAAGAAACUUAUCUGAAUAUACUAUAAAUGUAUGGAAUACUGAAGCGAUCGUCUAAUAAACAUGACUUUUUAACCCUUAGAUACCCAAUAUAGAAAAGCUCAAAUUGUCACUAGUGAACUGCUUCGCCUGUCACUAGCUCCCUAUAACAAAAUUAUUUAGUAUGUCCUCAAAUAACUUUGUUCCCCUAUCUCACCAGAUAUAAAAAUGUAUUACCUUUAAAUCAUAUUUAAUAUACGAGCCUCAGUAACCCAUCCAUAUGCUACUAAAACUAGACUUUAAUUUAUUCUGUAUUUUAAAACAAUUAACUCUCUAAUGAUUUUAACACUGUAUGUAACUAAAAUACAUGUGAAAGAAUAAAUAAUAAUAAAGAAAGAAAUAAUAAUUAACCCUAACACCCAAAUAAUGACUCUACCCUAACUCUACCCCAAUUUCACCUAUUCUAAUGUGUAAGACUAGAAGCGAACCUCUAGUAUUACAGGGGGGGGGGAAGUGUGUGAGAGGGACCCUAAUUUAAGCUGUAAACGUUCGGCCGACAAAACCGAGGUAUUGCAAACCCUAGUGUCUGUGUAAUUUGCCUCCCUCCGCAGUAUAGGCCGUAGCCAAGGGUACUGACGAAUAAGGCGCCCUAUUCCAAAUAUAAAAUGUGAUUAUAUAAAUAUAUAUAACAAGACCACGCUUCUUCAAUUACCAACAGAUUUCAGUGAGUAAAGAUUACUCUUAAUGAUCCACACGUGAGAUCCUCA
This is a long non-coding RNA of Cydia fagiglandana, 1946 nucleotides long. RefSeq lists it as uncharacterized. NCBI's taxonomy places the organism in Eukaryota, Metazoa, Arthropoda, Insecta, Lepidoptera, Tortricidae. The record is from RefSeq and is a predicted model, not a curated record. The transcript is spliced from 5 exons.